UGUGUGUGUGUGUGUGUGCAUACAGGCGUCCCAGAGGGGGUGAAAAGGCCUACACCUGCAGAGGAUCUGCAGAGAGCAUCUCUGUCAUCUGGAGACCUGAGAACAGAGAAGGAAAACAGAUGAAACAUACGGGGGUCACCCUCCACCCCCAGACGUUGUUAUUUCAAGCUUUUCUCAUCAUAUUGAGGAGGAAGGGAACAAUACACAGCACACACACACACACAUAAACUCGCUCGGAGCACUCGCUCAGAACAGCACAGUCAGCUCUUUCAGCAGACAGAAGAAAGAGAAAUAUCAAAGAGCUAAGGAGCAAGGAGGAGGGACAGGGUGAAAGAUAUAGACAGCAGGGGAGAUAAAGUACUUUAUCCACAGAGGCUUUACUCCUCACUACUCCUCUACCACUUUUGCACCAGUGUGAUACAAAACAUGCAUUAACACGACUUGAGCUAGAGGCAGCUUUUUUUUGUUCUCUCUCUUUUUAGGUUUUCAACUGUUUACAUCUGCCAGCUAUUUUUCACAGAGUCUUAAGAGAGGUGCGAGGGAACAAGCAGUGAGAAAUCUCGGAGAAAAAGGAAAUCUUGUCCACUGUUCAGGAAAAUCAACAGCGCUGGAGACACCAGGACACUUGGCACCACACUGACGUGACCCAAAAUUCGACCCUGCGGGACGCCAGUGACGGUCUGACAUGAAAGAUGAGGCGCAGAGGAGGACAUCAUCAACAGGCGGCGGGGAAACAAAGCUCCAGCUAAUCGCUGCUUCCUACAAAACUACAUCUGUAAAGUUACUUUUAACCCGAGAAACAAGCAAGACCAAAUAGCGAAACAGAGUAAAGACUCUUACACAGUCAAUUCAUGCUGUAGACGUGUUUUGUUCCUCACAAAAUUAACCUCUUUGAACCUUAACCAAUUAUUUUUACCAAGCAGGGAAGAGCAGCUUAAGACAACUUCAGGCACUUGCGUAACAAACUACAAGAAGAAACAGAUCUGCGCGCAUUUCCCCCCCUGGUAACCGUCCAAUAUUGAGGCUUCUUCAUGCCUCUGCUCUCGCUGUCUGCAAUGAGCGUCUGUGUACAUAGUUCUCCUGCACUUGGAUGCCCUUGCCACUCUGGGUUUAUCUUUUUUUUUCUCUACUGUUUCUUCUUAAAGAAACAUUUGUUGGGUUGAAUUAAAGCUUGAAUAAACUUCAAUAGGCUCGGGUGUUUGGCACGAGGCCCAUUGGGCUCGUCCGGUGUGGGCAUUCAACCCCCUCUGCAGCGGAGUAGACAGUGAAUUUUUCAAUACCUUCAGUGGAUGUUAUUUGUCCAACAGGUCCAUGAUGUUACCAGAGCUGCAGCACUGUCGGAAUACAAAAAUUCACUUAACUUGCUGAUAUUAUGUGACAUGAGCAGCGCCCCGAGGUUGUGAAGGGAUGGCACUGGGGGUUAGGCUAUGCUGAAUAAAUGCUUUGAUGCAGGUA
Gasterosteus aculeatus aculeatus (three-spined stickleback) is the source of this 1455-nucleotide non-coding RNA. NCBI's taxonomy places the organism in Eukaryota, Metazoa, Chordata, Actinopteri, Perciformes, Gasterosteidae. The record is from RefSeq and is a predicted model, not a curated record.